This 1360-nucleotide ribosomal RNA is filed under the name Lactiplantibacillus plantarum. Its description in RNAcentral is "bacterial SSU rRNA". It matches the Rfam family "Bacterial small subunit ribosomal RNA", at positions 69 to 1408 of the family's 1533-position model. Lineage: Bacteria; Bacillati; Bacillota; Bacilli; Lactobacillales; Lactobacillaceae. The record is from RNAcentral.
AUUGGUGCUUGCAUCAUGAUUUACAUUUGAGUGAGUGGCGAACUGGUGAGUAACACGUGGGAAACCUGCCCAGAAGCGGGGGAUAACACCUGGAAACAGAUGCUAAUACCGCAUAACAACUUGGACCGCAUGGUCCGAGUUUGAAAGAUGGCUUCGGCUAUCACUUUUGGAUGGUCCCGCGGCGUAUUAGCUAGAUGGUGGGGUAACGGCUCACCAUGGCAAUGAUACGUAGCCGACCUGAGAGGGUAAUCGGCCACAUUGGGACUGAGACACGGCCCAAACUCCUACGGGAGGCAGCAGUAGGGAAUCUUCCACAAUGGACGAAAGUCUGAUGGAGCAACGCCGCGUGAGUGAAGAAGGGUUUCGGCUCGUAAAACUCUGUUGUUAAAGAAGAACAUAUCUGAGAGUAACUGUUCAGGUAUUGACGGUAUUUAACCAGAAAGCCACGGCUAACUACGUGCCAGCAGCCGCGGUAAUACGUAGGUGGCAAGCGUUGUCCGGAUUUAUUGGGCGUAAAGCGAGCGCAGGCGGUUUUUUAAGUCUGAUGUGAAAGCCUUCGGCUCAACCGAAGAAGUGCAUCGGAAACUGGGAAACUUGAGUGCAGAAGAGGACAGUGGAACUCCAUGUGUAGCGGUGAAAUGCGUAGAUAUAUGGAAGAACACCAGUGGCGAAGGCGGCUGUCUGGUCUGUAACUGACGCUGAGGCUCGAAAGUAUGGGUAGCAAACAGGAUUAGAUACCCUGGUAGUCCAUACCGUAAACGAUGAAUGCUAAGUGUUGGAGGGUUUCCGCCCUUCAGUGCUGCAGCUAACGCAUUAAGCAUUCCGCCUGGGGAGUACGGCCGCAAGGCUGAAACUCAAAGGAAUUGACGGGGGCCCGCACAAGCGGUGGAGCAUGUGGUUUAAUUCGAAGCUACGCGAAGAACCUUACCAGGUCUUGACAUACUAUGCAAAUCUAAGAGAUUAGACGUUCCCUUCGGGGACAUGGAUACAGGUGGUGCAUGGUUGUCGUCAGCUCGUGUCGUGAGAUGUUGGGUUAAGUCCCGCAACGAGCGCAACCCUUAUUAUCAGUUGCCAGCAUUAAGUUGGGCACUCUGGUGAGACUGCCGGUGACAAACCGGAGGAAGGUGGGGAUGACGUCAAAUCAUCAUGCCCCUUAUGACCUGGGCUACACACGUGCUACAAUGGAUGGUACAACGAGUUGCGAACUCGCGAGAGUAAGCUAAUCUCUUAAAGCCAUUCUCAGUUCGGAUUGUAGGCUGCAACUCGCCUACAUGAAGUCGGAAUCGCUAGUAAUCGCGGAUCAGCAUGCCGCGGUGAAUACGUUCCCGGGCCUUGUACACACCGCCCGUCACACCAUGAG